GCCACGGUAGCUCAGUUGGUAGAGCAGCGGACUGAAAAUCCGCGUGUCGUUGGUUCGAUUCCGACCCGUGGCACCA
This 76-nucleotide transfer RNA is filed under the name Pelotomaculum sp. PtaB.Bin104. Its description in RNAcentral is "tRNA-Phe". It matches the Rfam family "tRNA". From Rfam's summary of the family: Transfer RNA (tRNA) molecules are approximately 80 nucleotides in length. Their secondary structure includes four short double-helical elements and three loops (D, anti-codon, and T loops). Lineage: Bacteria; Bacillati; Bacillota; Clostridia; Eubacteriales; Desulfotomaculaceae. The record is from RNAcentral. RNAcentral also lists the same sequence under 7 other names.